This 65-nucleotide transfer RNA is filed under the name Dendrochiton gothicus. RNAcentral's name for it is "tRNA-Leu". Lineage: Eukaryota; Metazoa; Mollusca; Polyplacophora; Chitonida; Mopaliidae. The record is from RNAcentral.
AUUAGGUUAGCAAAGAUAAGUGCGAAUAAUUUAGAAUUAUUAAACGAGAACUAAUCUCACCUAAU